RNAcentral lists this ribosomal RNA (497 nucleotides) under uncultured bacterium. Its description in RNAcentral is "partial 16S ribosomal RNA". It matches the Rfam family "Bacterial small subunit ribosomal RNA", at positions 28 to 507 of the family's 1533-position model. The record is from RNAcentral.
GAUGAACGCUGGCGGCGUGCCUAAUACAUGCCAGUCGAGCGAACGGACGAGAAGCUUGCUUUUCUGAUGUUAGCGGCGGACGGGUGAGUAACACGUGGAUAACCUACCUAUAAGACUGGGAUAACUUCGGGAAACCGGAGCUAAUACCGGAUAAUAUUUUGAACCGCAUGGUUCAAAAGUGAAAGACGGUCUUGCUGUCACUUAUAGAUGGAUCCGCGCUGCAUUAGCUAGUUGGUAAGGUAACGGCUUACCAAGGCAACGGUGCAUAUCCGACCUGAGAGGGUGAUAGGCCACACUGGAACUGAGACACGGUCCAGACUCCUACGGGAGGCAGCAGUAGGGAAUCUUCCGAAAUGGGCGAAAGCCUGACGGAGCAACGCCGCGUGAGUGAUGAAGGUCUUCGGAUCGUAAAACUCUGUUAUUAGGGAAGAACAUAUGUGUAAGUAACUGUGCACAUCUUGACGGUACCUAAUCAGAAAGCCACGGCUAACUACGUG